UCGAGAAUCUUCGGCAAUGGGCGCAAGCCUGACCGAGCGACGCCGCGUGCGGGAUGAAGGCCUUCGGGUUGUAAACCGCUGUCAGUUGGGAGGAAAUGCAUCAGGGUUCUCUCUGGUGUUUGACCGAUCUUCAGAGGAAGGCCGGGCUAAGUUCGUGCCAGCAGCCGCGGUAAGACGAACCGGUCGAACGUUAUUCGGAAUCACUGGGCUUAAAGAGUGCGUAGGCGGCCUAGCAGGUGAGGUGUGAAAUCCCUCGGCUCAACCGAGGAACUGCGCUUCAAACCGUUAGGCUUGAGGGAGAUAGAGGUGAGCGGAACAGAUGGCGGAGCGGUGAAAUGCGUUGAUUUCAUCUGGAACACCUGUGGCGAAAGCGGCUCACUGGGUCUCUUCUGACGCUGAGGCACGAAAGCUAGGGUAGCGAACAGGAUUAGAUACCCCCGUAGUCC
Molecule: ribosomal RNA, 446 nt
Filed under: uncultured prokaryote
Description: bacterial SSU rRNA
Rfam family: Bacterial small subunit ribosomal RNA
Source: RNAcentral